RNAcentral lists this transfer RNA (69 nucleotides) under Ictidomys tridecemlineatus (thirteen-lined ground squirrel). RNAcentral's name for it is "Spermophilus tridecemlineatus (thirteen-lined ground squirrel) tRNA". It matches the Rfam family "tRNA". Rfam says of the family: Transfer RNA (tRNA) molecules are approximately 80 nucleotides in length. Their secondary structure includes four short double-helical elements and three loops (D, anti-codon, and T loops). The record is from Rfam by way of RNAcentral. Lineage: Eukaryota; Metazoa; Chordata; Mammalia; Rodentia; Sciuridae. RNAcentral also lists the same sequence under 1 other name.
GGGGCUGGGGCUCAGUGGUAGAGCGCUUGCCUAGCAUCCAUGAGGCACUGGGUUCAAUCCUCAGCCUCA